GACGAACGCUGGCGGCGUGCUUUACGCAUGCAAGUCGAACGGUGAAGGUGGAGCUUGCUCCGCCGGAUCAGUGGCGAACGGGUGAGUAACACGUGGGCAACCUGCCCCUAACUUUGGGAUAACUACUCGAAAGAGUAGCUAAUACCGGAUACGAAGUCUGUAGGCAUCUACGGAUUUGGAAAGUUUUUCGGUUAGGGAUGGGCCCGCGGCCUAUCAGCUUGUUGGUGAGGUAGUGGCUCACCAAGGCGACGACGGGUAGCCGGCCUGAGAGGGCGACCGGCCACACUGGGACUGAGACACGGCCCAGACUCCUACGGGAGGCAGCAGUGGGGAAUAUUGCGCAAUGGGCGAAAGCCUGACGCAGCAACGCCGCGUGCGGGAUGAAGGCCUUCGGGUUGUAAACCGCUUUCAGCGGGGAAGAAGCGAAAGUGACGGUACCUGCAGAAGAAGCACCGGCUAACUACGUGCCAGCAGCCGCCGCGG
Molecule: ribosomal RNA, 483 nt
Filed under: uncultured bacterium
Lineage: Bacteria
Description: partial 16S ribosomal RNA
Rfam family: Bacterial small subunit ribosomal RNA
Source: RNAcentral